GCAAGUCGAGCGGAAACGAUGUAGCUUGCUACAGGCGUCGAGCGGCGGACGGGUGAGUAACGCGUAGGAACCUACCUAUUAGUUUGGGAUAGCCAUUGGAAACGAUGAUUAAUACCGGAUCCGCCCUACGGGGGAAAGAGGGCUUCGUCACGCGCUAUUGGAGGGGCCUGCGGGAGAUUAGCUAGUUGGUGAGGUAAGAGCUCACCAAGGCGACGAUCUCUAGCUGGUUUGAGAGGAUGAUC
RNAcentral lists this ribosomal RNA (242 nucleotides) under uncultured bacterium. RNAcentral's name for it is "partial 16S ribosomal RNA". It matches the Rfam family "Bacterial small subunit ribosomal RNA", at positions 57 to 305 of the family's 1533-position model. The record is from RNAcentral.